Dicentrarchus labrax (European seabass) is the source of this 967-nucleotide long non-coding RNA. RefSeq lists it as uncharacterized. The record is from RefSeq and is a predicted model, not a curated record. NCBI's taxonomy places the organism in Eukaryota, Metazoa, Chordata, Actinopteri, Moronidae. The transcript has 2 exons.
AUUGAGAGUGUAGUUGACAAACAGCCACUCAGCCAGCCAAGCAGAGAGAAGAAGACAAGUGGACAGUCACAAAACUACAUAGACAAGGCAACAAAAUGGCUGCCACUGUGUAAGUAGUGAAAGGCAAGAUGAUGCAGAAAAUGGAAUAGUUGAGCCAAUAAUCCAAAGUCACAUACAUGUGAAGUCCCUGAGAAACCUUUCAGAAAUCAGUCAGUGUGUAAGCUGCAACAGCAGGUAAUAAGAGAUUUUUCAUACCUUAAUAUAUUGAAAUAUAAUAAUUUAAUCAAUGUCUAAUUCAUAUUUUCUUUAGUUGAUAUUUUAGAGGAACAUGCAAAGUGAAACAAACUUUCAGAAGAGCAUUUUAUUAAACACUUUAAGGAAAUUCUACGGAGAUAAAAGCACAUGCAGAACAGAGAGGACUGAGUUAGCAAUCAGAUGUCACAGAAAGGCAAAAAGUACAAGUAUCCUGAAUCUAUUUCAAAAUUGACUGGAAGUUUAUGGCACAUGGUUCUACCUGCCUGCAAUACGCAGGAUUUUAGCACUGACUAUAUGAAAACAUUUCACUAGCUAAAGAAUUGUUCCUUUAAAAAGAGAACUCACAUCCACAACAGUAAACACACAAAAAUGAUUUCCUCACAGUAUUUUUUGCUAAUCUGAGGUUAAUGUUUACCACUCCCUCAAAUGACUCAACAUACAUUGAAGGUAAAUGUUGCCUUUCCAGUGUCAAGCCAUUUGGCCCUUUCUCACGAUCAGGGACUUGUCUUGUUCCACAGAAUUCCAGACUACCACCAAGGACUACCAAAGCCGACUUCAUGUGAGGUUAGUUGUAGAUGUCUUGCCUGUGGUCAAUUUAAAUGCUGAGAUGUAUUCUAUUACUACUUACGUAUACACAUGAUAUAAGGCCUAUAGAAAGGCCCCCCCAGUAGUCACACAUCCCAAUUUUCAUGACACAGAAUUCAAAUGUUUU